RNAcentral lists this ribosomal RNA (491 nucleotides) under uncultured bacterium. Its description in RNAcentral is "bacterial SSU rRNA". It matches the Rfam family "Bacterial small subunit ribosomal RNA", at positions 15 to 518 of the family's 1533-position model. The record is from RNAcentral.
GAUCUGGUCAGGACGAACGCUGGCGGCGUGCCUAACACAUGCAAGUCGAACGGAGUAAGAAUUCGGUUUUACUUAGUGGCGAACGGGUGAGUAACGCGUGAACAACCUGCCUUCCCUGAGGGGGGAUAACACCUGGAAACAAGUGCUAAUACCGCAUAAGACCACAUGUCCGCAUGGACGAGGGGUCAAAGGAGCAAUCCGCAGGGAGAGGGGUUCGCGUCCCAUUAGCUAGUUGGCGGGGCAACGGCCCACCAAGGCGACGAUGGGUAGCCGAGCUGAGAGGCUGAUCGGCCACACUGGAACUGAGACACGGUCCAGACUCCUACGGGAGGCAGCAGUGGGGAAUAUUGGGCAAUGGGCGCAAGCCUCGACCCAGCAACGCCGCGUGAGGGAAGGAGGGUCUUCGGAUUAGUAAACCUCUGUCCUAUGUGACGAAGGAAGUGACGGUAGCAUAGGAGGAACGCCCCGGCUAACUACGUGCCAGCAGCCGC